Long non-coding RNA from Myotis davidii, 1113 nucleotides. RefSeq lists it as uncharacterized. The transcript has 4 exons. The record is from RefSeq and is a predicted model, not a curated record. Lineage: Eukaryota; Metazoa; Chordata; Mammalia; Chiroptera; Vespertilionidae.
AGCCUGACUGCUACCUGCGUCUAGUCUCAUCUAAUCAGCAUUCUGACAUCCUCCUCUGUGCUCCAGGCACACGGAGCUGCUGGGUAAAAUAUAACAAAACUGUUACAUCGUGGAGGGAGGAUGAUUCCCAUCUGCCAAAAGAAGGAGAACCCCAUAAGCAACAUGAUGCUCUGGAUGGUGUUCAGGAAGAUGCCCUUUACAAAAGCUACUCUGGUCAUCAGUCUCUAGGGCAGUCAUGCUACUUGGUACCAGAAGAUGAUCCCAAAAGAAAGGCAAGCUGUUCCCUGGCCUUCUCCUUCUCCACUUUGUCCCCAUCAACACCGCUUCAGCGUUCAGAAAUCAAUUCGAAUGUCAUCUCCACUGAGAAGUCUUUCCUGACCCUGCUUCCCUCACUCACCUCCCCAAUCCAGUGCCAGGUGCCUCACCCAUGACCUCUACAAAAUCUAAGAGCAUUUGCCAGCUCAGCUCUGUGCCUCUGGAUUGAGAGGUCCUUGCAAGCAAGGACUGGGUUUUUCUGUGGUUUUGUUCCAGUACCUUGCCUACUUUCAUCAUUUCCAGGGGAUAGCAAGCACUCAGAAAUGUGUCCAGCAGUCCUACCCCUGAGAACAAUCCCAGCAUAUGUAAGGCGUGUACAAGAAUGUUUGCAGCACCAUGACUUUUAUUAGUCCCCAAAUAACCAUUAGUCCCUGGAAAUAACCCAAAUGCCUGUUAACUGGAGAGCGGGUAUGUAAAUCAUGGCAUUUUAAAUCAAUCAAUCCUAUGCAACUAUGGGAAGGAAGGAAUAAAUGCUAUGAAUGGAUUUCACAGACCUAAUGUUGCGUGAAAGCCAUGACGGAGGCGGGAGUCACCUGUGGUGGGAGCAAUCAGGAGAGGAGUUACCCCUGAAGGCACAGGGUACCUGAUGGGGCCUUGGGGACCCCAGGAAUGCUCCAGGGCGCUGGCCACGUGAACAUUCUCACACUACGGAAACUCAUCCAGCUGUACAUUUAUAGUUUGUGUACGGAUCUGUAUCUCAAACUUGAAUAAAGGUUUUAAUUGAGCCAGUUCCCUUUGUAGAACACUUUCUCGUGGUGUUUGGACAGGGGCAGACAUGGUGCGUGUGGGUGUGCCUGC